GACGAACGCUGGCGGCGCGCCUAACACAUGCAAGUCGAACGAGAGAGAAGGAGCUUGCUUCUUUGAUCGAGUGGCGAACGGGUGAGUAACGCGUGAGGAACCUGCCUCAAAGAGGGGGACAACAGUUGGAAACGACUGCUAAUACCGCAUAAGCCCACAGGUCGGCAUCGACCAGAGGGAAAAGGAGCAAUCCGCUUUGAGAUGGCCUCGCGUCCGAUUAGCUAGUUGGUGAGGUAAUGGCCCACCAAGGCGACGAUCGGUAGCCGGACUGAGAGGUUGAACGGCCACAUUGGGACUGAGACACGGCCCAGACUCCUACGGGAGGCAGCAGUGGGGAAUAUUGCACAAUGGGGGAAACCCUGAUGCAGCGACGCCGCGUGGAGGAAGAAGGUCUUC
Molecule: ribosomal RNA, 396 nt
Filed under: uncultured bacterium
Lineage: Bacteria
Description: bacterial SSU rRNA
Rfam family: Bacterial small subunit ribosomal RNA
Source: RNAcentral